GAUGAACGCUGGCAGCGUGCCUAAUACAUGCAAGUCGAGCGAACAGACGAGGAACUUGCUCCUCUGACGUUAGCGGCGGACGGGUGAGUAACACGUGGAUAACCUACCUAUAAGACUGGGAUAACUUCGGGAAACCGGAGCUAAUACCGGAUAAUAUAUUGAACCGCAUGGUUCAAUAGUGAAAGACGGUUUUGCUGUCACUUAUAGAUGGAUCCGCGCCGCAUUAGCUAGUUGGUAAGGUAACGGCUUACCAAGGCAACGAUGCGUAGCCGACCUGAGAGGGUGAUCGGCCACACUGGAACUGAGACACGGUCCAGACUCCUACGGGAGGCAGCAGUAGGGAAUCUUCCGCAAUGGGCGAAAGCCUGACGGAGCAACGCCGCGUGAGUGAUGAAGGUCUUCGGAUCGUAAAACUCUGUUAUUAGGGAAGAAUAAAUGUGUAAGUAACUAUGCACGUCUUGACGGUACCUAAUCAGAAAGCCACGGCUAACUACGUG
This 497-nucleotide ribosomal RNA is filed under the name uncultured bacterium. Its description in RNAcentral is "partial 16S ribosomal RNA". It matches the Rfam family "Bacterial small subunit ribosomal RNA", at positions 28 to 507 of the family's 1533-position model. The record is from RNAcentral.